GACGAACGCUGGCGGCGUGCUUAACACAUGCAAGUCGAACGGAAAGGCCCUGCUUUUGUGGGAUGCUCGAGUGGCGAACGGGUGAUUAACACGUGAGUAACCUGCCCUUGACUUUGGGAUAACUUCAGGAAACUGGGGCUCAUACCGGAUAUGAGCUCCUGCUGCAUGGUGGGGGCUGGAAAGUUUCGGCGGUCGGGGUUGGACUCGCGGCUUAUCAGCUUGUUGGUGGGGUAGUGGCUUACCAAGGCUUUGACGGGUAGCCGGCCUGGGAGGGUGACCGGGCACAUUGGGACUGAGAGAGGGCCCAGACUCGUACGGGAGGCAGCAGUGGGGAAUAUUGCACAAUGGGCGGAAGCCUGAGGCAGAAACGCCGCGUGCGGGAUGACGGCCUUCGGGUUGUAAACCGCUUUCGCCUGUGACGAAGCGUGAGUGACGGUAAUGGAAGAAGAAGCACCGGCUAACUACGUG
Molecule: ribosomal RNA, 468 nt
Filed under: uncultured bacterium
Lineage: Bacteria
Description: partial 16S ribosomal RNA
Rfam family: Bacterial small subunit ribosomal RNA
Source: RNAcentral